RNAcentral lists this ribosomal RNA (48 nucleotides) under Chenopodium oahuense. The record is from RNAcentral. Lineage: Eukaryota; Viridiplantae; Streptophyta; Magnoliopsida; Caryophyllales; Amaranthaceae.
GCGAACACACCAGCACUAAUGCACCGGAUCCCAUCAGAACUCCGCAGU